AGCGACGCCUGGCUGUGCUGGGAUUUGUACCCAGUGCGGGGGGGGCGGGGACCGCAGCACAAAGGGGCUCCCGGCAGGAGUGUGGAGCGUGUGUGAGGUUUCCUCGUGCAACAACUCUGACUUAGCGGAGGUUUCAUGUGCAGAAACUACCAUAUUCCUUAUAAAGACAGUUGCCAUGUUGUGGCUGAAUCCGCACAGACGGAGGCUGCCUGGCCGACAGCAUUCGGAACCUGAACCCGCCUGCGCCCUGGGGAAGAUGCCGUCCCUCUGAGUGUCCGCAAGCUGCUGUUGCUGUAAAUUUGACUGCCUCAAGUACUUCAUGAAUUAAGCAGCAUUUAAAAAGACAAGAUGGAACCUGAAGAGUACUGGAAGAAAUAGGAGGGGCUCCAUUCUGGUCUCUGAUCCAGCAGAAUUAGUACGCGGGCCUCUCCCUGUUGUGGCCUCUCCCGUUGCGGAGCACAGGCUCCGGAUGCGCAGGCUCAGCGGCCAUGGCUCACGCGGCAUGUGGGAUCUUCCCGGACCAGGGCACGAACCCGUGUCCCCUGCAUCGGCAGGCGGACUCUCAACCACUGCGCCACCAGGAAAGCCCUGGCCUCUUAUUUUGAGGGUAUUGGUCAAAGCUCCUUUGAGGAACUGAUGAAAGCCAUGAACCCUCUCAACUAAAUACAACAACAGAAACACAGAAUUUUAAUGUCUUCAAAUUGCUUUAAAAUACAGUUUUAAGAAAGUGCUGUGCGAUGUGAUGCAAUGAAAAACGCAAUAUGAAUUUGGAGAAGGAAAGGAUCACCAGAGGUCAGAAGGGUCUAAGGGAGAGUUCAUGAAAGAGAUUCUGCCAUCCCAAGUCGUGGUUUGAGUAGUGACCGUGGUUUCCAUCUCUGUGCCGAGUGCCGUCCAGAGCUGGGAUGUGAGCAGUUAAGAUGCUCUCAGUGACGGGGAUACAGAUGCCUGGAGAUGGUCAGCCCCCUGGCAAUAGAAACUUUACAAGUUUUUGAUAUGGGCUUCCCUGGUGGCGCAGUGGUUAAGAAUCCGCCUGCCAGUGCAGGGGACACGGGUUCGAGCCCUGGUCCAGGGAGAUCACACAUGCUGUGGAACAACUAAGCCCGUGCGCCACAACUACUGAGCCUGCGCUCUAGAGCCCGCGACUCACAACUACUGAGCCCACAUGCCACAACUACUGAGCCUGCACUCUACAGCCCACGACUCACAACUACUGAGCCCAUGCACCAGAACUACUGAAGCCUGUGCGCCUAGAGCCCAUACUCCACAACAAGAGAAGCCACCGCAAUGAGAAGCCUGCGCACCGCAAGGAGGAGUAGCCCCACUCGCCGCAACUAGAGAAAGCCUACGGGCAGCAACGAAGACCCAAGGCAGCCAAAAAAAAAGAAAAAGUUUUUGAUACACUUUGUUUGCUUUAGGUGUGAGAAAUAUUCUACUGCCUUCUGAAGUAAGGGGAAAUGAAGCAACCUGGAAUUUACUGGUGGUAGCAAAGGAAAGGAGCUGACAAGAGGAAGACAGGGAGUCCUCCUCGAGAGCACUGAAGUAUCCCCAGGAGUGUAAACUGGUCAGAAAUCUCCUUCACUCCAUAAUUCCAACCUUCCUUUCAAAUCUACUAUGUGGGACCACCCCCCCCCCCCCCCCCGCAGGGGCAUAAGACCUGGAGAACUUCCUAUUUCUACUACGGAGCUGGAUGUGAAAUAAAGGAGGGAGACGCAUACCAUACAGUUUCAGGGAUACUGAGUUGGAUAGGACUUUAUGAAAAUCCCACCACUAUCAUUAUUUUCCUUAGAACAUGUGUUUUUGAGUUUGGGUCAAACUUUAGUGUGCUUGAGCCAGGUGGCUUGGGUUUGAAUCCCAGUUUUACCACUUUUGAGCUGCAUGACCUUCAAAGUUUAUGUAACCUCAGUUUUCACAUUUAUGAAAUAGGGAUAAUGUUGCUAUCUACUUCACAGAAAACAUUUUCUGGCACUAUAUGAGACUGUUAAAUUAAGACUAUAAAUACAUAUUUUGGAAGCUUUCUGAAUAUGUGUAUAACUGCAAGCAUGCAAUUGUAGUCCACUCAGAAAAGAGGGACGGUUAUCUAUGCUAGGACUGUGGCAAAACAGGCAAUGCUGAUCAUCGGAAAAGUCUUUAAACCAUACAGUGCAGUUCCAGGAUUGCAGGCCCACUCUGAAUACCCAUGUGGCUACCUCGUGCCUAAAGAGGGAGAAGCUGGUGGCCAAGAUUUACAUUUGACAAUGUCUCUUAGGAAAUCUUGCUAUAAAAUGCAAUUGACCACUUCUUUGAGAAGAAUCAGAAAGGUAAAUGUUCCAAAAUGUUAACACAACUAUUUGGAAACGGAAAAAAGGAAUCAAGUAAGUGUUGUUGUUAAGUUUCAAACUUUUAAAAUACCCAAUUAGGUUUUGUUUUGCUUUGCUUUGCUUUACAGAAGUAAACAUUUGUUUGGGUGGCCAUCUUAGAAUCUGUUCUAGCACUGACUUUUGUCACAGCGUGCAAACAUUUUCUUGCUUUGUAUUUUCUCUGGGUAAACAUACAGAGAAUGUGAUUUUCCAUAUGUACUCUGUCGUUUGCAUUGCUUUGGGGGCUUUGAUUAGUCUGAGAUAUACAAGAUCCCUAAGUCAGGAUAAACCCAGCCACUAACUUUCUAAGUGAUAUUGAGCUAUUCCCUCUAGACAUGCAAUUUCUUUGUAUUACAGAUUUACCUCUCCUUAAAAAAAAAAAAAAUUAAAAAAAAAAUACCAUGAUAUGUUCCUCCUUAUGUUUUUUAUAUUAUUAAAGCAAUAGUGGUUGCAAAUUCAAUUUAACAUAUUUCAGAAAUAAUUCUUAAACAACCUAUACCUAUACUCUGCUUAGUGCUGGAAGAAGAAAGAACCAGAAGAUGAAUGGCGCACUCAUGAGACAGGGCAGAGGAAACUCCUGCCCUCCAGAUCAUCAAAACCAAAGACAUGUACACAACUACCUAUAAUGUAGGCCAGACCACAUAAAUCUUAAGCAGUGCUUUAAAGUCUUCUGAAAAAUAAUGCCCUAACUAAACGAAAUCAUCACCCUGAACUCAGAGUACGAAUGAUGCUGUUAUUACUUAUUUCUACUGUCUUCCAUCUAUUUUAUGGUGUUCUUUGAUCCAUUCUUUGCAUUCUUCUUGUCUGAAAGUAAUAUUCUUGAUAUGUUUAAUAAGGAGACCCCCUCCUUUCUUCCUAGAUGCUUUGGCUGCUGACCAACAAAAGCCAUCGAAAGACUUAAUCCUCUGAGCCUGGCACCACAUCAGUCUGGAAAUAGUUUACAUGCAGAGUCCUUUGGAGUAAAUACUCAUUAGAGGUUCCGUUGGCUUAUUUGGUCACCCACAUUUUGCAGUGGGUGGCCCAGUUGGUAUCCUCAUUAUUUUAUUUUCCACCCCUGAAAAUAAUCCAGAUGUAGCAACCUGACACUACUCCCUUUGGUAUUCUAAGUCCAUUGUAAUGGAGCGUCCAUUCCUUUGUGAUGCUAGUUAAUAGGUUCAGAGAAGUAAGGGUCUCAGACUGGUCAUGCCCUAAUAAAUUUUUUGCUAAUACACCUUUUCUCAGCGCAACUCCUGAAAUGCAAUCUGAGUACUUCAAGAGUAAUUCGCUAGUAAUCGCGAACACGUGAGGAUUUAGAGAACUGUCAUCUCCCUUCCUCCCUCCCUCCUUCCCUUCCUCCCUCUCUCUCACUCUUUCUCUGCCCACCCCCUACCCCACCUCUCCACCCCAUCUUUACAUAAAUGAACAAACCAGUUCCCAAGGUUUGAACUUUAUCAAGGUUAUUCACAAAUUACAAAGUAGAUCUCUUGCUUUUUCGCUUACUAGGUACAUCUUUACUGCUUAGAGCUUCUUGGUUAGUACUUGGAUCAGGGAAAUGGAGUCUCUAUACUGUCAUCGUUCUGGGUUUAGCAGUGAAAGUUCUCAAGAAAGAACAAUCAACUAAUGUUUCUUGACUACGUAUUAAGUGCAGAGCAAAGUAACAUUAAAAUACAAGGUGGUUGUUAAACAUGCCUUCCUCUUGCCAAGCUUGUAUUCUUGUAAUAAGGCCAAUAUAAGUAAGUUGGUACUUUCUUCCUCAUGAUUGUUAUGAUAAGCAUAUGCAAAAUGCUUAGAAUAAUAUCUACCAGAUGGGGUAUUUAUUACUGUAUGGAUUAAAAUAAUAACAUAUAUAAAGUUCUUAGAAUAGUUGCCGGCUUUUUCUUAUAGGUACCAAUAUCUCAGAAGCUACUGCAUUCUUUUUAUAUGAAUCAGCAUCAAUUUUCAACAGGAAAGCAUUCAAAGUUUUUACUUUGAAAAUUUAUAAAACUCUUAAGAUUUUUUUGUUAGUUUCUCCUUGGACGAUAGGAAAUGGAAAGGAGGUGUGAUGUUGAAGGAUGAGGGAGUGUGAGCAUCUAAUAGAUGUCGGGCAUUAUACUGAAGGUUUGCAUCCAUUAUCUCAUUUAAUACUCAAAAUGACAAUACAAGGUGCAUAUUGUUCUGUCUGUUGUACAAAAAGACUAAAACUUGGGCCAAAAAAAGCUAAAUAAAGAGCCAGGAUUUGAAGGCAAGUUCAUCUGGCUCAAAAACUCACAUUUUUCCCAUUCCUUGAGUUCUGAUUAGACUACUUAAUAUCAUUUUUUCAAAGACAGGAAGAGUGUAGGAAGCAUCCUGUCAUCUUGUGUAAAGUCGUACAGUAUCCUGGAUGUUAACUGCUGCUAAGAUUUAAUAACUCUGGAAAAAAACAACCAGCAACGUAUCCUCCUGUGUACCAUAAAUAGGCCACUCCAUGGUAAAUUACACACUUGUGACUUAUCCUAGAAGGAGCCCCAUAUCACUGUUGGACACUGCUGCUGACCAAAACCGUGAGGACUUGCACGUGUUCAGGAUCUGCUCUGCUAAGUGUGUAACACACUCAGCAGAUGCCACGUUGUUCAAAGACUUACUACCGACUUAAACUUGCUGCACUCGUGCACAGAUGCAGUUUCUGUCUUUUCUCAUACAUCACAGUAUCCAGGUGUUUGUUUCUUUGUUAAACCUAGACAUUUAACCACAUAAGACUUUUAUAAAUGGUCAAAUAGAUUCAUAAGGGGACAAUACAUGAAACUAGUCACUUUACUACCACAAGUCUUAAAUUACUCAUCCACAAACCUACACAUAAAAUUUCAUUUUGGUAGUUGUAUUACAGUUUCUGCUACACCAAUCUAUAUUACAGAAAGCUUCUCCCAUAUAGAAUGCAGUAAGAGUUCUGGAAUAAAAUUUUAAUUUUAACAACAUAAUUGCUAUAUAGCUAUACAUGUUUAUUUUGUUUCACUAUCAAUGUGAUUUGAAACUCAGCACAUUCUGAGGCACCAGCAGUAUUAAUUUCAAUUUAGACCAUAUGGUUGUAUAUCUGUAAUAUCUAUACAUCUACAUAUUUGCAUAUAUAGGUAUAUACUUACAGAUAUAUUUAUGUUUAUAUGUAUACACACAUAUAUAAUCAUGUUAUCAAAAAUUAAGUUUAAAUAUUUAGUUUAAACUUCUUAACUUUUCAGCAUGUUAUAUACUGACUAUAUUAUAUCUGCUUAAACAUAAAGUGAAGCCAGUAGAACACAUGCGAUUUGACUUGUAUUCAGCAUUACACUAGAUUUAUCAUCCCAGAAGUAUAACGAGUAAUAAUUCUGUGAGUGGUGUUUUCUUUGACACAAGUAAUAUGACUUUUCUAUUCUGAAUGGUUCACUAUGAUUAAAUAGAAUAACUACAUAAUAAGUUCUUUCUAAACAAGCUCAUAGAACAUUCAUUUAUUCAUCAACAAACAUAAAAACAGACUCUAUGUGUACAGGCAAAUAAAUGUACUGUGGUAUUGUUGCUAUUUUCAAUAACGCUACUGAUAGUAAACAGGUGCUGUGUGCCAGGUACCACAGUAGGCACUCGGAGAAUGCAAAGAUGUAUGAAGGGCAGUCGAAGCCAUCAUGAAGUUUAUUAUCUAAUAAUGUUAAAUUUGCACUAUACCAAUUUUUUAAAAAAUUCACAUACCUGGUCUCCUUUUAUCCUUAACAAAAACAACAUGACAUAAACAUUAUUAAGUGACACGAGCAAGGAUUCAAUACAGGUCAGGACUCCAACUCUUGAACAUGCUGCCCGAUUGAAAAAAGCAACAGGUGAAAAUGAUCUGCUCAUAAUUUUGCUGAUGCAAAAUAUAUUGGAAUGUAUAUUGUAAUAAUGGAUGGAAUCAGAGUAAAGCAAAAUUGUGCCCUGUGGAUUCAUAAAGGUAUGGUCUGAAUUCAUUUUUUUAAGUAAAUUGAAAUAACAGUCAAAUUAUUGUGAUUUCAUGUUGACACAUUAGUUAAGUAUUUCUAGCCUUUCAUUGGAAAAAUAAAAUUUUUUAAAUAAAACAUUACACUUUAUUCAUUAUUCAGUCUAAAAUCUUAAAAGCUAUUACACAAAUGGAAACAGUCUUCCAUCCUCUUUAAAGCCUGACUCUUUGUUUGAAUUCUUUUAGAAGCUGUUGUGAGUACAGGGUCAGGGUACAAACAGACAUCUCUCCACUAGCAUUCAAAAUGCAUUGCCAUGCAUUUUGUUCCCUUUGUAUUUGAAUCACCUACUUUUUAAACUAUGUCAAACGGGUCUUUGUAUCAUUUCUGGAACAGAGGAGUCGUGUUUUCUCCCCACGCUGAGCCUUUCUUAGGGCCAUCAUUCCAUUACCCUUUGCCUCCUCCAUGGUCUUUGACUACUUGAAAUCCUGUCUUCCUUUAAGGUUGGCUGCAAAGCCCAGCUUUACAAUGUUGCCUACCCAUGCUUUUCCAUGAUUAUUCCCAAGGGAAGGGACUGUGCCUCUUCACUGAACUCUUGUCAUUUUUUACUUUCAUGUAUCAUUCAUUCUCUUUAUAUGACACUUGUUUAUGUAUAUUCUUAUCUCCUCAGCUAAAUUAGAA
Long non-coding RNA from Globicephala melas (long-finned pilot whale), 6883 nucleotides. RefSeq lists it as uncharacterized. The record is from RefSeq and is a predicted model, not a curated record. Lineage: Eukaryota; Metazoa; Chordata; Mammalia; Artiodactyla; Delphinidae.